This 1284-nucleotide long non-coding RNA is filed under the name Anas platyrhynchos platyrhynchos (common mallard). Its description in RNAcentral is "lncRNA (ENSAPLG00000022126.1)". Lineage: Eukaryota; Metazoa; Chordata; Aves; Anseriformes; Anatidae. The record is from RNAcentral.
GGGGGCCGCGGGGCGGGCGGAGGAAUGCGGGCAGAGCUGCGGGGCUCCUUCUCGUCCUCUCUUUCCCCACCCCGGCUUUCGCUGUCCUGUCCCCCCCUCCCUCCCCUCGCAAUAUCCAAGGCAGUAAAAUCCGCGGGAUGGAGAAGAUGCGGUAGCAGCAGCAGCUCCUAGACGCCUGCAGGGGAGUUCCCAACUUUCCCGGCCGCUUUGCGAAUUCUCACCGAAGUUAUCCGGAGUUUGCCAGUCUCCCUAUCAAUGACAGCUUGGAGCCACCUCGGAACAGAAGUGCCACCCCGUUCAGAGUCCAAAGUAAAACAACACAGACGCUGUGCUACGGUAACACUGAUCAAAGCUUACAACAAAAUAAAAAGUCAAAUGUUAAACCAAAGCAAAUUGCACAGUGCUAAUGAAAUAAUAGAGAACAGCCUGCCCAAACCUCUGCUAUGCAAACGGAAGAAGUUAUAUUCCCUGUUCCACCACUGCUUGAUAAACAUAUCCAGGAGUUAAAACGGCAAGUUUGCUUCUGUUUCCACAAACACAUUUACUGAUUAAUAUCACCUGAAGUACUUUAACAACAGGAACAACAACAGAGCACCUGCAAGGACAACACAGAAUUAAAGUGACAAGAAUAUUAGCUUAAGAGGCAUUCUUCAUUUGAUUCAGGAUCAGCAUAUUCCAAAAUGAACUGAGGUAAGGAUGUCUCUUCAACCAAAAAUAAUUCAGAUUAUCAGUUAGGGAAUACUAGAUUCCCCUUCCAGCUCCCAAAUGUCCCACACAUUCACUGCAAGUAUUUCCAUCAAAAGUUUGUAGUCUUCUUAAAUAACUAGAGUUGGAUUUUUUUAGUACAUAGUACUUUUUUAAUGAAGUAACAACAUUUUAAAAUUCAGAAACAAGCUCUCUUUAUUGUAUUUAACACCACAUCCAUCCUUACUGAAAAUGCAAGUACACUCCAAUCAACUGUUUCAGCAUUAUUCCUGAUAAAUGUAAUAACAUGUGUAAAUCAAUAAGGGGGGGAGGAAGGGAUGUUAGAUUUUUCCAGCUUCCUUUUAAAAAGGAAAAAAAAAAAAAGAAAAAAAAAAAGAAAGACUUACGGCAAAUUAAGAAUCAAGAUAGAAGAUUUUAGAUGAAACAUUUUGGAAAAAUAUCUUCCUAGAUGUUCUAGUCCCCUUUAUUUUUUUCUGCUUAGUCUUUUUGGUCAAAAUUUUAUCUGCAUGUGAUCAACCUGCACUGUGAGGCUGCAUAGGAGUUAAUAAAAAUAGCACUAAGCCUGAAAAAAUAAGAAAU